AGAGGAUUGGAAGGCACUAGCCUCUGGUGUACCUGUUGUUCCGCUAGGAGCAGCGCAGGGUAGCUAAGCUGGGAAAGGAUAAAUGCUGAAUGCAUCUAAGCGUGAAGCCCCCCUCAAGAUUAGGUCUCGGUUCCCGACUCGUCGGGAUGAAGGCCCCUCGUAGACGACGAGGUCGAUAGGCCGGAAGUGUAAGGGUAGAAAUACCUUCAGCGGACCGGUACUAAUGGCCAAAGGCUUGAUCGUAU
Molecule: ribosomal RNA, 245 nt
Filed under: Phycisphaerales bacterium
Lineage: Bacteria; Pseudomonadati; Planctomycetota; Phycisphaerae; Phycisphaerales
Description: partial 23S ribosomal RNA
Rfam family: Bacterial large subunit ribosomal RNA
Source: RNAcentral